Molecule: ribosomal RNA, 496 nt
Filed under: uncultured bacterium
Lineage: Bacteria
Description: partial 16S ribosomal RNA
Rfam family: Bacterial small subunit ribosomal RNA
Source: RNAcentral
GACGAACGCUGGCGGCGUGCCUAAUACAUGCAAGUAGAACGCUGAAGGAGGAGCUUGCUUCUCUGGAUGAGUUGCGAACGGGUGAGUAACGCGUAGGUAACCUGCCUGGUAGCGGGGGGAUAACUAUUGGAAACGAUAGUUAAUACCGCAUAUUAGUAGAUGUUGCAUGACAUUUGCUUAAAAGGUCCAAUUGCAUCACAACAAGAUGGACUUGCUUUGUAUUAGCUAGUUGGGGGGGUAACGGCUCACCAAGGCGACGAUACAUAGCCGACCUGAGAGGGUGAUCGGCCACACUGGGACUGAGACACGGCCCAGACUCCUACGGGAGGCAGCAGUAGGGAAUCUUCGGCAAUGGACGGAAGUCUGACCGAGCAACGCCGCGUGAGUGAAGAAGGUUUUCGGAUCGUAAAGCUCUGUUGUAAGAGAAGAACGAGUGUGAGAGUGGAAAGUUCACACUGUGACGGUAUCUUACCAGAAAGGGACGGCUAACUACGUG